RNAcentral lists this ribosomal RNA (403 nucleotides) under bacterium. RNAcentral's name for it is "partial 16S ribosomal RNA". It matches the Rfam family "Bacterial small subunit ribosomal RNA", at positions 355 to 776 of the family's 1533-position model. The record is from RNAcentral.
UGGGGAAUAUUGCACAAUGGAGGGAACUCUGAUGCAGCGACGCCGCGUGAACGAAGAAGGCUUUCGAGUCGUAAAGUUCUUUUAUAUGGGAAGAUAAUGACGGUACCAUAAGAAGAAGCCCCGGCUAACUACGUGCCAGCAGCCGCGGUAAUACGUAGGGGGCUAGCGUUGGCCGGAAUCACUGGGCGUAAAGGGUUCGCAGGCGGAAAUGCAAGUCAGGUGUAAAAGGCAGUAGCUUAACUACUGUAAGCAUUUGAAACUGCAUAUCUUGAGAAGAGUAGAGGUAAGUGGAAUUUUUAGUGUAGCGGUGAAAUGCGUAGAUAUUAAAAAGAAUACCGGUGGCGAAGGCGACUUACUGGGCUCAUUCUGACGCUGAGGAACGAAAGCGUGGGUAGCAAACAGG